GAUGUUCCAACAACAAGCUAGAUGGAUGUGUGCCCUGAUGGCAGCUGAGAUGAUCACUCCACUGGGACCACCCCUCCCAGGACUAGUGACCUUUAUGGGAAACUGACUCCACCGAGAAGACAGAAAGAAUGGAAAGAUAGGAGGGACACAGCCCUUGUGACAGGACUGCCAAUAUCAGAUGGUCAUAUAAGGUUGAAAUGAAAUCUUGACAGCACAGCAAGAAUACUUUUAUACUUGUGGUUUUAAGUGACACAAUAGUCACAGACAUCUACCUCAAAAAUGAAGACUUGAAGAAAAUCGCCUCUAUGCCUGAGGCUGAAGAAGUUUCCUUCUUCUUUAUAUUAGUCCCCAAAUGUCUCUGCUAACAGAUCAGUCAUGAAGUCUUUGCCUGACAAACUUUUGAGAUUUAAAAUGAAGUACCCUUGGAUGCAUGUUAUUUCAGUGAUUCCAUAUUCUUAUCUCACACAUAAUAUUGAGUCAAUUCAUGAAGGAAUGAAGUGAACAGACCAUGUACAGGAAGUUGAUGUGUACUCCUAUUGUUCUCAAGGAAGCCUGAAUUCUGAGUUCAGCAUGCCUACAAGGUUUUAAAUAUAACUGAUUUUACAUGAUGCCCAUCAUUAUUAUUAUACCACAGUUAAGAUAUUUAGGGAAAGUAAAUCUAUUGACAAUGCAAAGUGAGAUAAUUCUGGGAAUCAGUUGAUUGUAUAGUGUUACAAAUUGUUAAAUUUAGCCAUAGAAAGGCUUAAUACUAAGAUUUUUAUAGUUGAUGUAAAAACCAGACAGGUUAUACAGAUCCAUAUAUAAGACCAUUUACUUAUUGCAGAAAGAAUAUUGAAUUACCUGGAGCAGGACAGGAUCACCAUGCUUUAAGCAAAGGGUACAUAAAACUAGUGACCUAUUUUGUCAUUGAAGAUCAAUAUGUUAAGAUCAAUAACAAUAUGGAACAGAAAGAUAAGAAAGUACUUAAUAUUUUAAUAUUUCACAUAUACACAAACAAAUUUUCUACUUAGAAUCAUUUCACAACAAAAAAAGGAAAUCUGUCCUUCUUGUAAUGGAGUGAUAGAUCACAUACUAAGAUAGAUGUCCUCUUAUUGUUAUUAUAUGCAUAUUCACUGUGAUUUUGAUUCUCUCCUGUGAAAACAUCUUAUUUACCCUCCAGCUAAUGGACCUUGUUUUGACUAACAUGGAAGAGUGACAUGAUUUGUCUUUCAAGCCCAAGCAAGACUCAUGAGCAUGCUUAAUUUCUUCCCUUGUCUUCUAAGAAAUCAAAUGUUGUAUAAAGGCAUCCUAAGAGAGCCUGCUGGAAAUAUAAUAUAGAUGGAGCUGACAUACCCUGGCUGCAGGCCACACUUGAGGCCAGUUAUGUAAGUUACACCAUCCACAAGCAACACAAUGCCUGACCCAUCACAAUGUGACUGAUUCCAGUUGAUGCUCCUUCCAAUUUGAAACCUACUACAACACACAAAGAAAAGCUCCUUUGAAAAAAAUCAUUAAAGGAAAAAAAUAGCAUCUUGGCCCCCACAGUAUAUAUCUAAAAGUGACCGAAGAAUUUCUCCUUCCGACAGUUAUAGGUGCAAGCUUCUACACGUAGGAACUGUCAUUCAAUCCUUACAACACAAUGACAGGAACUUAUCAGUCUUCCUGCUUCACAGAUGAGGAAAUUCAGAAAACAGAGGUUCUCAGUGGGAUUUACAUGUUUUAUGAAAAGUGUCAUUUGAAAUCUGGAUAAGAGGACAAGAGGUAGCAAGAUACACUGUGGUAUUAGAAGCACUAUGAUGACAGCUGUUGAGGUUUAAGAGAGGAAGAAAAUGCCUUCAAAUGAGGAAGAAUGGAACCAGGAGAAUGUCAAUGUACAAGAGCUGUGAAGGAUGUUGUCAGGUCCUGGCUACAUGGAAAUGCUAAUCAGCAGAUCAUGCAAGCUCCAAUCAUCAUUUUCGGUCAUACUUUCUAAGCUGAUUCCUACUAUAGUUGAAGAAUUAAUGCACUGGACUGUGCUCUCGGACUAACACAAAUAAGAUGGCUACUGGCCAGCCCAUUUGGCUUUUCUUACUCCUUAUUCCAAGCAGAGGAAAUGGAUAGAUGCUCUCAAUCACCUCUUGUUUUCCUAAGGUAGCCUCACUGGUGAUGUGAGUAGCAGUCCAGUCAUCCUUGUUCCACAUCUAGCAUCUUCCUAUGAGGGGUAAAAAGCUCAUCAACAACCAAACGCUGAGAGAUGAAGAGAAUGACCAGAAGACAUCGUUAACAUCAAAUCUCUAUAACCCACUGAUGUAAACAACCAGAACGAAUUAUUCACUAGUGGGAAGUAUCUCUCAAAGACUCUUGGAUCCCUUCCCUAUUAUAAAGAAGGAAUUAAGUGAUCAUUAUUUGGGCCAUUUUUUUUUAAAAUGGUUUUAUGAUGCUCACUGCAGCCUCCUUGUAAAGAAAAG
Non-coding RNA from Peromyscus maniculatus bairdii (prairie deer mouse), 2426 nucleotides. NCBI's taxonomy places the organism in Eukaryota, Metazoa, Chordata, Mammalia, Rodentia, Cricetidae. The record is from RefSeq and is a predicted model, not a curated record.